RNAcentral lists this ribosomal RNA (20 nucleotides) under Diaporthe longicolla. RNAcentral's name for it is "partial 18S ribosomal RNA". The record is from RNAcentral. Lineage: Eukaryota; Fungi; Ascomycota; Sordariomycetes; Diaporthales; Diaporthaceae. RNAcentral also lists the same sequence under 3 other names.
AACCUGCGGAGGGAUCAUUG